RNAcentral lists this unclassified non-coding RNA (338 nucleotides) under soil metagenome. Its description in RNAcentral is "partial contains 5.8S ribosomal RNA, internal transcribed spacer 2, and large subunit ribosomal RNA". The stretch from base 1 to 120 matches the Rfam family "5.8S ribosomal RNA", at positions 35 to 154 of the family's 154-position model. The record is from RNAcentral.
GAUGAAGAACGUAGCGAAAUGCGAUAAGUAAUGUGAAUUGCAGAAUUCAGUGAAUCAUCGAACCUUUGAACGCACAUUGCGCCCGGCAGUACUCUGCCGGGCAUGCCUGUUCGAGCGUCAUUUCAACCCUCAAGCCCUGCUUGGUGUUGGGGUCCCACGGCCGCCGUGGGCCCUGAAAGGAAGUGGCGGGCUCGCUACAACUCCGAGCGUAGUAAUUCAUUAUCUCGCUUAGGGCGUUGGGCGGCGCUCCUGCCGUUAAAGAACCAUCUUUAACUCAAGGUUGACCUCGGAUCAGGUAGGAAUACCCGCUGAACUUAAGCAUAUCAAUAAGCGGAGGA